RNAcentral lists this ribosomal RNA (271 nucleotides) under uncultured prokaryote. RNAcentral describes it as "partial 16S ribosomal RNA". It matches the Rfam family "Bacterial small subunit ribosomal RNA", at positions 524 to 794 of the family's 1533-position model. The record is from RNAcentral.
UACGUAGGUGGCAAGCGUUGUCCGGAUUUACUGGGCGUAAAGGGAGCGUAGGCGGACUUUUAAGUGAGAUGUGAAAUACCCGGGCUCAACUUGGGUGCUGCAUUUCAAACUGGAAGUCUAGAGUGCAGGAGAGGAGAAUGGAAUUCCUAGUGUAGCGGUGAAAUGCGUAGAGAUUAGGAAGAACACCAGUGGCGAAGGCGAUUCUCUGGACUGUAACUGACGCUGAGGCUCGAAAGCGUGGGGAGCAAACAGGAUUAGAUACCCCCGUAGU